This 321-nucleotide ribosomal RNA is filed under the name uncultured eukaryote. Its description in RNAcentral is "partial 18S ribosomal RNA". It matches the Rfam family "Eukaryotic small subunit ribosomal RNA", at positions 1470 to 1796 of the family's 1831-position model. The record is from RNAcentral.
CCCUUAGAUGUUCUGGGCUGCACGCGCGCUACACUGAUGCGUUCAACAAGUGUUAACCUUGCCCGAUAGGGUUGGGUAAUCUUUUGAAAGCGCAUCGCGAUGGGGAUCGACGACUGCAAUUGUUCGUCUUCAACGAGGAAUUCCUAGUAAGCGCAAGUCAUCAGCUUGCACUGAUUACGUCCCUGCCCUUUGUACACACCGCCCGUCGCUCCUACCGAUUGAGUGAUUCGGUGAAUAGUUCGGAUCGUGCAGGUCGCCCUCGGGUGCUUGUAUGAGAAGUUCAGUAAACCUUAUCACUUAGAGGAAGGAGAAGUCGUAACA